RNAcentral lists this ribosomal RNA (433 nucleotides) under uncultured bacterium. RNAcentral's name for it is "partial 16S ribosomal RNA". It matches the Rfam family "Bacterial small subunit ribosomal RNA", at positions 29 to 507 of the family's 1533-position model. The record is from RNAcentral.
AACGAACGCUGGCGGCAUGCCUAACACAUGCAAGUCGAACGAGACCUUCGGGUCUAGUGGCGUACGGGUGCGUAACGCGUGGGAACCUGCCCUUAGGUUCGGAAUAACUCCCCGAAAGGGGUGCUAAUACCGGAUAAUGUCUUCGGACCAAAGAUUUAUCGCCUUUGGAUGGGCCCGCGUUGGAUUAGCUAGUUGGUAGGGUAAAAGCCUACCAAGGCGACGAUCCAUAGCUGGUCUGAGAGGAUGAUCAGCCACACUGGGACUGAGACACGGCCCAGACUCCUACGGGAGGCAGCAGUGGGGAAUAUUGGACAAUGGGCGAAAGCAUGAUCCAGCAAUGCCGCGUGAGUGAUGAAGGCCUUAGGGUUGUAAAGCUCUUUUACCCGGGAUGAUAAUGACAGUACCGGGAGAAUAAGCUCCGGCUAACUCCGUG